CGAGGUUCAUCCUGGUAACCCUCACAAAAAAUCUCGCAACCCUCGCACA
RNAcentral lists this unclassified non-coding RNA (49 nucleotides) under Saccharolobus solfataricus. The record is from RNAcentral. Lineage: Archaea; Thermoproteati; Thermoproteota; Thermoprotei; Sulfolobales; Sulfolobaceae.